UAAAAUAUGAUUCCUUAUACACUCCGAUAAUGAGUUGAAUAUUUUAUAGAAAACUAUAUAGACCACCAUCGAGGUUGUCUUCGAAAUACCGUCAUCUACACAUUUUAUAAUAGGUGUCGUUUCGUUAUUUUUUUACGUGAACACAUUUUCGUUAUACUUUCGGUUUGAAAUACAAUGUACUUUGAUGGUAAUACGUCAACAAUGCCACUUGUGAAGUAGUGACUGCUUCGUCUACCGAACACGCAAAGACCGUGUAUCAAUUUUCUACUAAA
Cinara cedri is the source of this 272-nucleotide non-coding RNA. NCBI's taxonomy places the organism in Eukaryota, Metazoa, Arthropoda, Insecta, Hemiptera, Aphididae. The record is from the annotation of a GenBank genome assembly.